This 394-nucleotide ribosomal RNA is filed under the name uncultured bacterium. RNAcentral describes it as "partial 16S ribosomal RNA". It matches the Rfam family "Bacterial small subunit ribosomal RNA", at positions 523 to 918 of the family's 1533-position model. The record is from RNAcentral.
AUACGUAGGUGGCAAGCGUUGUCCGGAAUUAUUGGGCGUAAAGGGUGCGUAGGCGGUUUUUUAAGUGGGAUGUGAAAUACCUAGGCUUAACUUAGGAAUGGCAUUCCAAACUGGAAGACUAGAGUGCAGGAGAGGAAAGUGGAAUUCCCAGUGUAGCGGUGAAAUGCGUAGAGAUUGGGAGGAACACCAGUGGCGAAGGCGACUUUCUGGACUGUAACUGACGCUGAGGCACGAAAGCGUGGGGAGCAAACAGGAUUAGAUACCCUGGUAGUCCACGCUGUAAACGAUGAGUACUAGGUGUGGGGGGCGAAGCCCUCUGUGCCGCAGUUAACACAAUAAGUACUCCGCCUGGGAAGUACGAUCGCAAGAUUAAAACUCAAAGGAAUUGACGGGG